Molecule: ribosomal RNA, 433 nt
Filed under: uncultured bacterium
Lineage: Bacteria
Description: partial 16S ribosomal RNA
Rfam family: Bacterial small subunit ribosomal RNA
Source: RNAcentral
AACGAACGCUGGCGGCAUGCCUAACACAUGCAAGUCGAACGAGACCUUCGGGUCUAGUGGCGCACGGGUGCGUACCGCGUGGGAACCUGCCCUUAGGUUCGGAAUACCUCCCCGAAAGGGGUGCUAAUACCGGAUAAUGUCUUCGGACCAAAGAUUUAUCGCCUUUGGAUGGGCCCGCGUUGGAUUAGCUAGUUGGUAGGGUAAAAGCCUACCAAGGCGACGAUCCAUAGCUGGUCUGAGAGGAUGACCAGCCACACUGGGACUGCGACACGGCCCAGACUGCUACGGGAGGGAGCAGUGGGGAAUAUUGGACAAGGGGCGAAAGCCUGAUACAGCAAUGCCGCGUGAGUGAUGAAGGGCGUAGGGUUGUAAAGCUCUUUUACCCGGGAUGAUAAUGACAGUACCGGGAGAAUAAGCACCGGCUAACUCCGUG